GUCUGAUGGUUGACUGCAGGCAUCCAAAUCUGUAUUCGUCACGACUAGUGGAGCCUCUCAGGAGACAGCUAUAUCAGAACUUGCACAGAAUUAUAAAUACCAGCAUUGAGGAGAAGCCCAUAAAACGCCCUCUUAAAGAAGAUGGAAAGAUCUCCCAUCCUCAUGGCUAGGUAGAAUUCACAUAAUGAAACUAUCUUACCAACAGCAAACCACAGAUUCAUUGCAACCUGCAUCAAAAUACCAAUGUAAUUUUUACACACUUUGAAAGAACAAUCCUUGCCUUGAUGUGGAAAAACAAAAUCCCAGAAUAGGCAAAAGCAAAUAUGAACAAUAAAAGAACUUAUUGUGAA
Rattus norvegicus (Norway rat) is the source of this 350-nucleotide non-coding RNA. NCBI's taxonomy places the organism in Eukaryota, Metazoa, Chordata, Mammalia, Rodentia, Muridae. The record is from RefSeq and is a predicted model, not a curated record.